UGACGGUACCUGCAGAAAAAGCGCCGGCUAACUACGUGCCAGCAGCCGCGGUAAUACGUAGGGCGCAAGCGUUAUCCGGAAUUAUUGGGCGUAAAGAGCUCGUAGGCGGUUUGUCGCGUCUGCUGUGAAAUCCCGAGGCUCAACCUCGGGCCUGCAGUGGGUACGGGCAGACUAGAGUGCGGUAGGGGAGAUUGGAAUUCCUGGUGUAGCGGUGGAAUGCGCAGAUAUCAGGAGGAACACCGAUGGCGAAGGCAGAUCUCUGGGCCGUAACUGACGCUGAGGAGCGAAAGGGUGGGGAGCAAACAGGCUUAGAUACCCUGGUAGUCCACCCCGUAAACGUUGGGAACUAGUUGUGGGGACCAUU
This 364-nucleotide ribosomal RNA is filed under the name uncultured bacterium. Its description in RNAcentral is "bacterial SSU rRNA". It matches the Rfam family "Bacterial small subunit ribosomal RNA", at positions 470 to 833 of the family's 1533-position model. The record is from RNAcentral.